GAUGAACGCUGGCGGCGUGCCUAAUACAUGCAAGUCGAGCGAACAGACGAGGAGCUUACUCCUCUGACGUUAGCGGCGGACGGGUGAGUAACACGUGGAUAACCUACCUAUAAGACUGGGAUAACUUCGGGAAACCGGAGCUAAUACCGGAUAACAUGUUGAACCGCAUGGUUCAACAGUGAAAGACGGUCUUGCUGUCACUUAUAGAUGGAUCCGCGUCGCAUUAGCUAGUUGGUAAGGUAACGGCUUACCAAGGCAACGAUGCGUAGCCGACCUGAGAGGGUGAUCGGCCGCACUGGAACUGAGACACGGUCCAGACUCCUACGGGAGGCAGCAGUAGGGAAUCUUCCGCAAUGGGCGAAAGCCUGACGGAGCAACGCCGCGUGAGUGAAGAAGGUCUUCGGAUCGUAAAACUCUGUUAUUAGGGAAGAACAAAUGUGUAAGUAACUAUGCACGUCUUGACGGUACCUAAUCAGAAAGCCACGGCUAACUACGUG
This 497-nucleotide ribosomal RNA is filed under the name uncultured bacterium. RNAcentral describes it as "partial 16S ribosomal RNA". It matches the Rfam family "Bacterial small subunit ribosomal RNA", at positions 28 to 507 of the family's 1533-position model. The record is from RNAcentral.